GAGUUUGAUCCUGGCUCAGGACGAAUGCUGGCGGCGUGCCUAAUACAUGCAAGUCGAACGGUUCAAUCCUUGGAGCUUGCUCCAAGGAUUGGAUAGUGGCGGACGGGUGAGUAACACGUAGGCAACCUGGCGUCAAGACCGGGAUAACCCGCGGAAACGCGAGCUAAGACCGGAUAGGAAACUUCCGUGCAUACGGGCGUUUGGAAACCUGGUGCAAGCCAGGACUUGACGAUGGGCCUGCGGCGCAUUAGCUAGUAGGUGAGGUAACGGCUCACCUAGGCGACGCUGCGUAGCCGACCUGAGAGGGUGAUCGGCCACACUGGGACUGAGACACGGCCCAGACUCCUACGGGAGGCAGCAGUAGGGAAUCUUCCGCAAUGGACGCAAGUCUGACGGAGCAACGCCGCGUGAGUGAGGAAGGUUUUCGGAUCGUAAAACUCUGUUGCCAGGGAAGAACGCCAGGGAGAGGCAAUGCUCUUUGGGUGACGGUACCUGAGAAGAAAGCCCCGGCUAACUACGUGCCAGCAGCCGCGCUAAUAC
RNAcentral lists this ribosomal RNA (540 nucleotides) under uncultured soil bacterium. Its description in RNAcentral is "bacterial SSU rRNA". It matches the Rfam family "Bacterial small subunit ribosomal RNA", at positions 9 to 526 of the family's 1533-position model. The record is from RNAcentral.